RNAcentral lists this unclassified non-coding RNA (259 nucleotides) under air metagenome. Its description in RNAcentral is "partial contains small subunit ribosomal RNA, internal transcribed spacer 1, and 5.8S ribosomal RNA". The stretch from base 1 to 46 matches the Rfam family "Eukaryotic small subunit ribosomal RNA", at positions 1786 to 1831 of the family's 1831-position model. The record is from RNAcentral.
AAGUCGUAACAAGGUUUCCGUAGGUGAACCUGCGGAAGGAUCAUUAACGAAUCUUUGAGGUUGUGCUGGUUCUCACAAGUGCACACCUCUUACAUUCCAUUCACACCCUUCUGUGCACUUUAAGAGACGUAUUUCCCCCGUUUACGUGCCGCAAGGCUCGGGACUUCGUCUAUUUUACACACUCUUAUGUAUUAGAAUGUAUUCAGCGGAAACGCUAAAAAACAAAAAAUAACUUUCAACAACGGAUCUCUUGGUUCUC